This 448-nucleotide ribosomal RNA is filed under the name Escherichia coli. Its description in RNAcentral is "bacterial SSU rRNA". It matches the Rfam family "Bacterial small subunit ribosomal RNA", at positions 229 to 669 of the family's 1533-position model. The record is from RNAcentral. Lineage: Bacteria; Pseudomonadati; Pseudomonadota; Gammaproteobacteria; Enterobacterales; Enterobacteriaceae.
GCCCAGAUGGGAUUAGCUAGUAGGUGGGGUAACGGCUCACCUAGGCGACGAUCCCUAGCUGGUCUGAGAGGAUGACCAGCCACACUGGAACUGAGACACGGUCCAGACUCCUACGGGAGGCAGCAGUGGGGAAUAUUGCACAAUGGGCGCAAGCCUGAUGCAGCCAUGCCGCGUGUAUGAAGAAGGCCUUCGGGUUGUAAAGUACUUUCAGCGGGGAGGAAGGGAGUAAAGUUAAUACCUUUGCUCAUUGACGUUACCCGCAGAAGAAGCACCGGCUAACUCCGUGCCAGCAGCCGCGGUAAUACGGAGGGUGCAAGCGUUAAUCGGAAUUACUGGGCGUAAAGCGCACGCAGGCGGUUUGUUAAGUCAGAUGUGAAAUCCCCGGGCUCAACCUGGGAACUGCAUCUGAUACUGGCAAGCUUGAGUCUCGUAGAGGGGGGUAGAAUUC